CGGGGAGCAACUUCCCCGAGCUGGGGCGGAGGCGAGGUGCCGGUGUGCCGAGCCUUCCUCGGACUCCGAACUUGGCCGAGCCGUGUGGGGAAGGCGGCGGCGUGCCUGCCGUGGGCUCUGGGGUUGGGCUGGUGUGUUUACCCGCUUGCGGGGGAGGUGGCACCACAUUUCUUGGGUGCAGGCUGGUGAUGGAGAUUCCGUGUGCUUCUGGGGUCGGGGGAGUUAGGCCUGUGCCAUCCACGAUCACUCCUGCUCGCCCACCUCUUGUUUCAGGACGGAAAGUUAAAGGCUCUCUAUCGGCACCAGCUUAUAUCACCGAGAAGAUAAUUGUAAAGGCAUACCUUGUUGAGAACAUAACUGAGAGGUUGUACGGAUGGGAUGAACACGCGUCAGUUGCCUGCCUGUCUGCUGGAGUUUGGAUGCUAGCGUUGCUCAUAGGGAACUGCUGCCUAGGGAUGCACCUGCUCUACAGUACCCCAUUUCAUCGUGCUUGUCUCGAUUAA
This 503-nucleotide long non-coding RNA is filed under the name Rattus norvegicus (Norway rat). Its description in RNAcentral is "long non-coding RNA NONRATT032382". The record is from RNAcentral. Lineage: Eukaryota; Metazoa; Chordata; Mammalia; Rodentia; Muridae.